Molecule: ribosomal RNA, 119 nt
Organism: Arabidopsis thaliana (thale cress)
Lineage: Eukaryota; Viridiplantae; Streptophyta; Magnoliopsida; Brassicales; Brassicaceae
Source: Rfam
ACAUGCGAUCAUACCAGCACUAAUGCACCGGAUCCCAUCAGAACUCCGCAGUUAAGGGUGCUUGGGCGAGAGUAGUACUAGGAUAGAUUACCUCCCGCAAAGUCCUCGUGUUGCAUCCU